CAUUCUCAAAAAGAACCCUUCUUGGUCUUGCGAUCGGGAAAGGCCUCUUUUUGGACUUUGGAGGCUAUUGCUGGUCCCCCCUUGAUAGCCAGCUCCUCUUAAAUGAAUUAGUAGGGACCACUUUGCCGACCCUAGACGUGAUAAGAUGUUUCUGCGUCUUGGGUAUUCGCUCUGUCCUUUGGAAACCUGCUUCUAACCGUCUUGUCAAAAGACAGCGUUCGAGCCUUUCUCGUUGAUCGGGCAAGGCUUGACUUGAUGAA
RNAcentral lists this unclassified non-coding RNA (260 nucleotides) under uncultured Russula. RNAcentral describes it as "sequence contains ITS2". The record is from RNAcentral. Lineage: Eukaryota; Fungi; Basidiomycota; Agaricomycetes; Russulales; Russulaceae.